RNAcentral lists this long non-coding RNA (318 nucleotides) under Elaeis guineensis (African oil palm). RNAcentral describes it as "long non-coding RNA (EGUI_LNC000942)". Lineage: Eukaryota; Viridiplantae; Streptophyta; Magnoliopsida; Arecales; Arecaceae. The record is from RNAcentral.
AUUCAUUAGUCAAAUUCUUCGAUCGAUCUUUUUGAGAAGGAGAGGCCCUAGCCAUAAGAACAACUCUGAAGAAGACAAAGACUUUAGAGGAAAGAGUAAAGGAUUCGAAAGAAAGACGAAGUUGACAAGAAAGUUGAGUGCGAUAACCUUGGGUGUUGGGGCAAUAAUCUGGCAGAGUUCCAGCAUCAAAAACAGUGAAAAGUAAAAAUUUGGCUGAGAGUGAUCCUAUAUAUAUAGGAUCCCUGAACAGUCGAGAUGAAGGCGGUCAAAUCAAAAAUCUACCAGAUGACGAUACGUGACAACAUCUGGACCAACCAU